RNAcentral lists this ribosomal RNA (232 nucleotides) under uncultured bacterium. RNAcentral describes it as "partial 16S ribosomal RNA". It matches the Rfam family "Bacterial small subunit ribosomal RNA", at positions 99 to 334 of the family's 1533-position model. The record is from RNAcentral.
CGGACGGGUGAGUAAUGUCUGGGAAACUGCCCGAUGGAGGGGGAUAACUACUGGAAACGGUAGCUAAUACCGCAUAACGUCGCAAGACCAAAGAGGGGGACCCUCGGGCCUCUUGCCAUCGGAUGUGCCCAGAUGGGAUUAGCUAGUAGGUGGGGUAACGGCUCACCUAGGCGACGAUCCCUAGCUGGUCUGAGAGGAUGACCAGCCACACUGGAACUGAGACACGGUCCAG